UGAAAACCUAGAUUUUCCAUGAGAUGAUCUGGAGCACCUAGAUCCUGACACAGUUGUGUCCUAGCUCGCAUCUGUUGGGCUCCGUGACCUAACCUGAUGGGACGGCUUAUGGCAGGAGGAAUUUUUAAAUAGCCAGUAGGCAACAGGAUCUUCUGUGCUUCUUUUGUAGUUCCCUACUGUCAGGGUGGUAAGGCACUGGCACAGGUUGCCCAGGGAAGCUGUGGAUGCCCCAUCUCUGGAGGUGUUCAAGGCCAGGCUGGAUGGGGCUUUGGGCAACCUGGUCUGGUGGGAGGUGUCCCUGCCCAUGGCAGGGGGUUGGAACUGGAUGGUCUUUAAGGUCCCUUCCAACCCAAACCAUUCUGUGAUAAAGCACAGGCACAUAGAAAAGGUAUCCAGGUGUGCCAAUUAUAUCAGGAUUUAAGAGGCAAAAGCUGCAAGCUAGAUUGCUGCAAGAAGGUAGAAAGGAAAGCUGAACCAGGGAGCAUCCAUCUCCGAGCAGACAGCAGAAAUAAGUGCUGCCCGCAUGAGGUGCCAGAACUGGCACUCCCUCUGAGCCUGCAUGACAUGGGUAAAAUCCUUCUGUGCUGCCUGAGAGAAGGAAGAACAACUGGAAAGGAAACAAAACCAGGAGCACCAGCCAUUCCCAGCUCAGAGCAGACACUCCUGCUUCAUGGUCUGUCUUCCUGUCCGGAGGAUUAUGUGCUGCAAAAGUUGCUGGUUUCCAGAAAAACAAGAGGACCUGUGGUGUCUGCAUCGAACAUAUUCCUCAGAGAACCAGAAAUCUCCAGUGGAGAAAGAGGCUUUGGGCAAUACAGAGGGACAAUGUUUAAAUUCACAUUAUAUUGUAAUCAUUGCCCAGCUCUCACAAAAGAGCAGGUUAGUGAGGAAGACAUGGAGAAAAGAAAAGACCGGCAGAUUUAAAGAUGGGGAAAUUAAAUUUUUCCCAGUUGCCCAGUAAGUAGUGGUCUCACUCGCUGGCUUUCAGCGUGCAGACUUAAACCUAUGCCUUAAUCCACAUGCGGUGAGAUAGGAAGGAUUAUUGGCUGCUGAUGAUACCUGUUGACCGGUUUCUCUCCCUCUCAGUUUCAAAUCCUCUGUUGCUGUCAGCGACACAUGCUUUCCUGCUCGUCUGGGGUGGCCCAGCCUCAUUAGCAAAGGAUUUUGUGCAUGUUAGUUAAUUGAGCCCCGUUCCCGCCACCUGCCACUCGCGAGCCUCAUCUGCGCACUAACUGCCUCUAAUUGUCAUCAUACGGCCGGCGCGCCGCGACAACUUGAGAACAGACCCGGAGCAGCACGCACCGGCCCGGGCUCGGCAAUAACCCGGGGAGCAGCGGCGCGGCGAGUGUAACAAUUUACCAGGGGACCAGAUGUUUGGAGAGGAAAGGCACCUUGCGCUAACAUCAGGUGCUAAAGCUUCGGUGUUUAUUAUCAUGUCAGGUGCUGAGCCCGGCCGCAUCUCGCAGGCGAGACGGCUUGAUAAAUGGAUUCGCACUGGCCUUUCCGCCACCUUAUUGACAACGGACGUAUAAACAGGGGGGAGCAAGUACAAUCAUUUAAACAUAUGUGAAGUUUUGCAGCUCAUUAAUCUAUGGUGUAAAUCCCACAGCAGAAGUCCCGUCACUUGCUCGGACUAGACAGGACGAAGCAGGAGAAGAAAGGCAUCCCGGAGGGACGAGGCUAUGAUGGGGAGUGGACAAAUUGACCUACUAUGUUUUUGACAUCUCCAGCAUUUAUGCAUAAACUGCUGCUGCCGGGCAUUUUGUUUUGAGCAAAUGCAGUCUUCAAUCUUGGAGGAGCUGCUGGUCUAAGUGGGAAACCCCUGGUUUCCACUGAUCUCUAGGCUGUCCACACGUUGCAGAACAGUUCCCUGGUCUCAGGAACAGUGGCCUUAGAACAGAUAAUCCUACAAUAGCCUUUAAAA
Anser brachyrhynchus (Pink-footed goose) is the source of this 1921-nucleotide long non-coding RNA. NCBI's taxonomy places the organism in Eukaryota, Metazoa, Chordata, Aves, Anseriformes, Anatidae. The record is from Ensembl.